Apiotrichum porosum is the source of this 118-nucleotide non-coding RNA. Lineage: Eukaryota; Fungi; Basidiomycota; Tremellomycetes; Trichosporonales; Trichosporonaceae. The record is from the annotation of a RefSeq genome assembly.
GCUCUUGUGGUGUAGUCGCUAUCAUACUUUCUUUGGGUGCUCCUCCCGCCUCGACAGCAGUCGAGACGAUGUAGGUCAACAAUGGAAGUGGUCCCGGGUUCAAAUCCCGGCGGGGGCC